Long non-coding RNA from Boleophthalmus pectinirostris (great blue-spotted mudskipper), 407 nucleotides. RefSeq lists it as uncharacterized. The record is from RefSeq and is a predicted model, not a curated record. The transcript has 2 exons. Lineage: Eukaryota; Metazoa; Chordata; Actinopteri; Gobiiformes; Gobiidae.
AAGUUCGUCUCAGAAGAAUCAAAAUCAGAUCCUCGUGUUCCUCAGGUCUGGAUCCUAGAACAUCUCACUGACAGAACAGAACAGAACCUUCAGAACCUUUAGAACCUUCAGAUCGUUUCCUGUCUGUGGUCUCCAGGAUUUCAGACGAAUCGUUCGAGGAGACAGAGACUUUAUGACCAAAGUGACUCCGCCCCUCCAGCUCACCUGUGUGCACCUGGACAGGAGCUGACCAAUCACACGACAGAGAGGAGAGGAGCUGACCAAUCACACGACAGAGAGGAGAGGAGCUGACCAAUCACACGACAGAGAGGAGAGGAACUGACCAAUCACAGGAGAGACUGAAUAAAAGUCCAAAAUUCAGAGACGUUGUGUAAAUUUGUUCAUUAAAGACACAAUAUUAUUAUAAA